Molecule: long non-coding RNA, 548 nt
Organism: Drosophila serrata
Lineage: Eukaryota; Metazoa; Arthropoda; Insecta; Diptera; Drosophilidae
Source: RefSeq, a predicted model, not a curated record
UUGCCAACACCGUUACAACUUAGCUCUGCAUUUGCAGAUAUUUAUCUGACGAUGCCGAAAUGAUUGAAAUUGAGUGAUCUUGGAUAAAUUUAUGUAAAUGUAUAUUAAAACAAGCAACGGCUACACAAGUAAUAUAACCUAUUUGUAUCUGAUAACAGUUCUUUUUAUCAAGCAGCACAAAAUCGGGUACAUGUUCAUGUUUUUACAUACAUAUAUAUAUAUAUGUGUACAUGAAUAUGUGUGUGACCAAGUGAAAUGUUCAACAUCUACUUACAUUUAAAAACGUAACCUCUUUCUAGAUUACAAAUGGAUCUGACAUUGGAUAAUUACUUUUCUCAUCUUAAUUCCCUGUCUGUUAAAAUUGCUUGUGAUAUAAAUGGAGUUAAAUCAACGUAUGACAGAGAAACUUGGCGUUCAUUAACUUUGAAAAAUCAAGAAAACGUACUGAACAGUUAUUUUAUAAAACCAGAUGUACAAAAUAAGUACAAUAACAAAUCGAUUGCGAAAAAAGCUUCUCAAGUAAAGACUAACUUGGUUUAUUCAUAUAA